GUGCGUGUGUGUGGUGCUCGAGUGUACGGUUGUGUAUGUGUAGAGAGUGAGCGGUCUUGCUAUGUCUUUCUUUCUGCCUGUAAGGUAGUGAUUAAUCUGCUUGUCUGGUUUCUAUGUUUGCUCUACUAAUUUUGUGUGCAGUAACAGUGUGACAAUUUUUUUUGUGUUGACCAUCUGUCUUGCUUUUUUAAAGAGUAAAACCAAGGCAUAUGUUUUAAUACCAUUUGGAUAAUAAAGCUCGUAUGAAAUUGUUUUCAGUCCCCUCCAGACCCCCCUCAUGUUGUUCUGCUGAAGGGCUUUGAGCUCCGGAGUCACCCAGGGUUUGUUGUUGGAAAAACACCGGACCUUCUUCUUAGGCACAGUGUUCUCCACACAGAAAUUAAUGUAGUCCGUUACACAGUGAGUCAGACUGUCAACGUCCUCUCUGUGCGAAAUACAGAGCAUUUCUCAGUCUGUAGACUCAAAACAGUCUCUUAGUUCCUCACUGGAGGUUGUUUAUUCACCAAAGGUAUGUAGGAAGACAGCAGAUGGAUCAGAUUGUGAUCUGAGCGGCCAAGCGGGGGAAGGGGUGAAGAACUGUAUGCAUCUUUUGUGUUUGCAUACAGCAGAUCCAAUGUUUUAUUGCCCUUAGUGGGGCAUUUAACAUACUGUGUUAAGGUGGGGAGAGUUAAAGACAGGGAAGCAUGAUUAAAGUCCCUGGAGAUGAGAAGGAGGGACUGUGGGUGCGAUGUCUGCAGCUGUGAUGCAACAGUGUGAAGUAGCUCAUGGUACCUCCCUCGGCAGGUAUUAUGGCCGCAUGUUAACCGCUAGCAGCUCAAUAUCCUUAGUGCACCACUGCUCUUUAAGCCUGAUAUGCCCAGGGUUACACCAUCUCUCAUUCACAAACAUCACUAUUCUCUUACUGCUCUCCUUUGUUUUCCUGUCCACUCUCAUAAGUUCAAAUCUGUCCAGUAUAACCAGUGAAUCCAUACUGAGAUCGUUCAACCACGUCUCCGUGAAGCACAUGAUGCUACACUCCCGGUACUCCCUCUGAAGCCUGGUUAGCGCCGUUAGCUCUUCCAUCUUACUGGAGAGAGAUCUCACAUUCCCCAUAAUAACGGACGGAAUGAACGGUUUGUAACGUUUUUAACAGGAUGAUCGGUGUAAAUUGGUAUUAUUUUGUUUAAAGCACCACUAAAAGCAUCUACGUGCACUGUUUCUAUUCAGCUCUGGGCCUUCAUCGCAUAAAUUCGAUAUUCUGAAUCAAAAUAUCAUGUACACAAAAUCCACCUAAGAAGUUUCGUUAAUACUGUGGGAUGGCGAGAGCAUAUCCAGCAGGCACUUAGCUUUGGUGGAGAUAAAACCAUAUGUGCUCGUGUAUUGCUCCGAGAUUGCCUGUGUGUGCGUUUUUGUGUGUGUUCUGAUUCUCCUGGGGGCAGGUAAUGAAGAGGGCUAACUGAGCCAAUGACAUGACCCCGCGCCAUCAAAAACGGCAAAAAAAGAAAGAUAAAAGAAAGCUUGGGAACCAAUGCAGCGUGUCUGAGAAGGGAGAGCAAGGAGGGUCCUUUUCAACGCCGGGGUUGGCUGAGUGAUUAACCAACUACAUUAAGCAGUACAUAGAGAACUAACAGAUGCCGGAGACAGAAAGUAUGAGUGACAGCUCGUUGGCCCAUCUGCUCCCCAGCGUUUAGGAACAGAGAGAAAGAAAACAGAGCGCUAAAGUGCUAAAGAGCAACUGUGACUCAACCACACGUGUCAGCUCUGCGCCAAAUGUGUGCUUCAUCUGUUUUUUUGCUGCGUGACUUUUAAAAGAAGCAAGUGUCUGAAACCGUGCAGUAUGCAACUCUAAACAUUGCAAACAGCAGGAGGCCACAUUAUUUUCACGUGGCCUCAUCACGUAGCG
Long non-coding RNA from Ictalurus punctatus (channel catfish), 1882 nucleotides. NCBI's taxonomy places the organism in Eukaryota, Metazoa, Chordata, Actinopteri, Siluriformes, Ictaluridae. The record is from Ensembl.